Molecule: ribosomal RNA, 468 nt
Filed under: uncultured bacterium
Lineage: Bacteria
Description: partial 16S ribosomal RNA
Rfam family: Bacterial small subunit ribosomal RNA
Source: RNAcentral
GACGAACGCUGGCGGCGUGCUUAACACAUGCAAGUCGAACGGAAAGGCCCUGCUUUUGUGGGGUGCUCGAGUGGCGAACGGGUGAGUAACACGUGAGUAACCUGCCCUUGACUUUGGGAUAACUUCAGGAAACUGGGGCUAAUACCGGAUAGGAGCUCCUGCUGCAUGGUGGGGGUUGGAAAGUUUCGGCGGUUGGGGAUGGACUCGCGGCUUAUCAGCUUGUUGGUGGGGUAGUGGCUUACCAAGGCUUUGACCGGUAGCCGGCCUGAGAGGGUGACCGGCCACAUUGGGACUGAGAUACGGCCCAGACUCCUACGGGAGGCAGCAGUGGGGAAUAUUGCACAAUGGGAGGAAGCCUGAUGCAGCAACGCCGCGUGCGGGAUGACGGCCUUCGGGUUGUAAACCGCUUUCGCCUGUGACGAAGCGUGAGUGACGGUAAUGGGUAAAGAAGCACCGGCUAACUACGUG